GCGUAAGCGCGGUUUUUUUUCCUCGCUCCCCAACCCUAGCGCCUCGGCCUGCCCGCCACCGCCGCUCCCUCCCGUUGUCGGAGUCCGACCGCCGUGCCGCGUCAGGAGGUCGCAGCUGCGCCGCCUCGGGGCGAUGGAGUCAUCCCCGGCCCUCCGCGUCCAGAGCAGCACCCCUCCUGCAGGCCCUCAGCAGGUGGACGUCGCUCGCAGCCCCGCGCAGCGGGCCGUCCAACUCUGGCCUCCCCGUCGCGCGGGGGUCUCCGCGAGAUCGAGCCGCUGCUCCACCGUCGAUGCACCGUGCCAUCGUGCCGCCGACGCCCCCUGCACUUCACCGCCAUUACCACAGGCUAUGAACAAGAGCUAUCUGAUGUGCUGCUGAUUUGAAAGAAGCCUAAGGUUGAGGGUACACUUUUGAGUGGAUCAGGUUUUGGAGAAGCAAAAGCUUCAGGUGAUGUUUUUUCCUGGUUUCUGCUUGAUCGAGAUAGAAGAUGCUAGCAGUAAGCAGUGUGCUACUGGAUAAAAACAGAGCCAAGCUGGAAUUUAGUACCUGUUUCCUCUGCUUUUAAGUUUUAACGACAAGAUGUCCAAGUCCUGAAGCUAAUCAUAUUAAACUAAAAAGAACAACAGAUAGAUAGAUUUGUUGGACAAAGUUGAUCGCUUUUACAGAUAGAUUUGUUGGACAAAGUUGAUCGCUGGCCACAACAACCAGACAUGUCUUCUCCUCCUAAUGAGAAGUCUGUACUCACAUUUUUCUUCCUAUUUUAUUAUGCUUUAUUUCCUGGUUCAGGUGCUCGGUAAUCUCAAUAUUUUGCUUGCUCUCAUGACAGCUGUUUGUUACCAGGUUAUAUUCUCAACUAUUCAUGCUUGUGGCUUGAACCUCCAUUUUCUGACCAUUUUCCCAUUAACUGUAAAAAAAUAUCUUAAUAUUUCUCUUGGACUCUGCCUGUUAACUUCCAUUUUUAUCGCCGUGGCAUUGCUUAUAAAUCAUCAGGGCCAACUAUUAUAUAGUUUUGGGUGAUAUAUUCUCACUAUUGCAGGAACUCCUUAUAGUCAGCAAUCAUGCAAGGUUAGUGAAUCAUUCCCUUACAAGUGGAUCAAUAAAAAAUGGAAAGAAGGUUUCCAUUAAUUGCUUUGUGAAUAUUUACGAAGUAUUUUCUUACUCGAACUGUUAGGUUGUAGAGUUGGAUUUCUUGUACCCAAGCAAAGACAUCCAACAAGACAUGUUAUUAAUUAUGCAAUUUAAAUUUGCAGGUAAUUGACCGCACAUAUAUGUUUGACAUUUUUAUUUAGAAAAAUAAUGGUUGAUAUCGUGUGUUCUAUUUUUAUUUUGUAUACUGAUCAUCUGAUGAUCUAUUUCAGACAUACGUGAACAUUCAUAGCUAUUCGGGGGAAAGCAUUAGUUUUGUGUU
Panicum virgatum (switchgrass) is the source of this 1409-nucleotide long non-coding RNA. RefSeq lists it as uncharacterized. NCBI's taxonomy places the organism in Eukaryota, Viridiplantae, Streptophyta, Magnoliopsida, Poales, Poaceae. The record is from RefSeq and is a predicted model, not a curated record. The transcript has 2 exons.